AGGGUGCGUAGGUGGUUGUGUUAGUCCUUUGUUAAAUUUCCCGGCUCAACCGGGAAGCCGCACGGGAAACGGCACGACUCAGAGGUUGGAAGGGGUUUGCGGAACUCAUGGUGUAGCGGUGAAAUGCGUUGAUAUCAUGGGGAACACCAAAAAGCGAAGGCAGCAAACUGGUCCACACCUGACACUGAAGCACGAAAGCGUGGGUCGCGAAUGGGAUUAGAUACCCUGGU
RNAcentral lists this ribosomal RNA (230 nucleotides) under uncultured bacterium. RNAcentral's name for it is "partial 16S ribosomal RNA". It matches the Rfam family "Bacterial small subunit ribosomal RNA", at positions 564 to 791 of the family's 1533-position model. The record is from RNAcentral.